This 116-nucleotide ribosomal RNA is filed under the name Pteropus alecto (black flying fox). Lineage: Eukaryota; Metazoa; Chordata; Mammalia; Chiroptera; Pteropodidae. The record is from RNAcentral.
GUCUAUAGCCAUGCCACCCUGAACAAGCCUGAUGUCUGAUCUCAGAAGCUAAGCAGGGUCGGGCCUGGUUAGUACUUGAAUGGGACACCACCUAGGGAGACCAGGUGCUGUAGACA